CUAGAAUGGCUACUACAGUGGUGCAUUCACCACCUAGCUGAGAACACCCUCUCAAACUCAGUAGGUAAAAUUUUCUUGUCAAAAGUAUUAGAAACAGUUCUCAAGACUACUGUGUGCAAGGUGGAGAUCAGGACUGGGAGAAGAAAACACUUUUAGCAAGACAAGGUUUUCCUGUCGAGAGCUCUCUUGCCCAACAGAGAACAGCAUUUCCUAAGCUGUCCGGAUUACUCUGUAUGGAUGCAGAAAAUGCUUAAGAUUUCACAGUGAAGAGCAAUAAGAAAGAUAGGAAUAACACAGCAGAAAUGUACUUUUCAGGCAGCUUUGUUUCAACUAUUUUUAUAAAUAAGCUUCUCCUAAUUUUGGAACUACCACAUCACUAGCUGUUGGAUGACAACUCACAGCCCCAGGUCAUCAACCCACCAAGAAAAAAGGUUCCUGAAACAGUGAUGACACUGUGAAUUCUGAUCCGUUGGAGGACAAUCUCUUGAGAAAACAGGCUGCACUAAAACAUAAACACACCAUUGAAGAAAUCAGACUACGAAUGUCAGCAUUCAUUUGAUGUUUCUGGAAGUCAAG
Long non-coding RNA from Lutra lutra (Eurasian river otter), 576 nucleotides. RefSeq lists it as uncharacterized. The transcript is spliced from 6 exons. The record is from RefSeq and is a predicted model, not a curated record. Lineage: Eukaryota; Metazoa; Chordata; Mammalia; Carnivora; Mustelidae.